This 433-nucleotide ribosomal RNA is filed under the name uncultured bacterium. RNAcentral's name for it is "partial 16S ribosomal RNA". It matches the Rfam family "Bacterial small subunit ribosomal RNA", at positions 29 to 507 of the family's 1533-position model. The record is from RNAcentral.
AACGAACGCUGGCGGCAUGCCUAACACAUGCCAGUCGAACGAGACCUUCGGGUCUAGUGGCGCACGGGUGCGUAACGCGUGGGAACCUGCCCUUAGGUUCGGAAUAACUCCCCGAAAGGGGUGCUAAUACCGCAUAAUGUCUUCGGACCAAAGAUUUAUCGCCUUUGGAUGGGCCCGCGUUGGAUUAGCUAGUUGGUAGGGUAAAAGCCUACCAAGGCGACGAUCCAUAGCUGGUCUGAGAGGAUGAUCAGCCACACUGGGACUGAGACACGGCCCAGACUCCUACGGGAGGCAGCAGUGGGGAAUAUUGGACAAUGGGCGAAAGCCUGAUCCAGCAAUGCCGCGUGAGUGAUGAAGGCCUUAGGGUUGUAAAGCUCUUUUACCCGGGAUGAUAAUGACAGUACCGGGAGAAUAAGCUCCGGCUAACUCCGUG